AGUGGCGGACGGGUGAGUAACACGUAGGUAACCUGCCCCGGAGCGGGGGAUAACAAUUGGAAACAGAUGCUAAUACCGCAUAACAACAAAAGCCACAUGGCUUUUGUUUGAAAGAUGGCUUUGGCUAUCACUCUGGGAUGGACCUGCGGUGCAUCAGCUAGUUGGUAAGGUAACGGCUUACCAAGGCGAUGAUGCAUUGCCGAGUUGAGAGACUGAUCGGCCACAAUGGGACUGAGACACGGUCCAUACUCCUACGGGAGGCAGCAGUAGGGAAUCUUCCACAAUGGGCGCAAGCCUGAUGGAGCAACACCGCGUGAGUGAAGAAGGGUUUCGGCUCGUAAAGCUCUGUUGUUGGAGACGAACGUGCGUGAGAGUAACUGUUCACGCAGUGACGGUAUCCAACCAGAAAGUCACGGCUAACUACGUGCCAGCGGCCGCGGUAAUACGUAGGUGGCAAGCGUUAUCCGGAUUUAUUGGGCGUAAAGCGAGCGCAGGCGGUUGCUUAGGUCUGAUGUGAAAGCCUUCGGCUUAACCGAAGAAGUGCAUCGGAAACCGGGCAACUUGAGUGCAGAAGAGGACAGUGGAACUCCAUGUGUAGCGGUGGAAUGCGUAGAUAUAUGGAAGAACACCAGUGGCGAAGGCGGCUGUCUGGUCUGCAACUGACGCUGAGGCUCGAAAGCAUGGGUAGCGAACAGGAUUAGAUACCCUGGUAGUCCAUGCCGUAAACGAUGAGUGCUAGGUGU
RNAcentral lists this ribosomal RNA (743 nucleotides) under uncultured bacterium. RNAcentral's name for it is "bacterial SSU rRNA". It matches the Rfam family "Bacterial small subunit ribosomal RNA", at positions 94 to 823 of the family's 1533-position model. The record is from RNAcentral.